This 253-nucleotide ribosomal RNA is filed under the name uncultured bacterium. Its description in RNAcentral is "partial 16S ribosomal RNA". It matches the Rfam family "Bacterial small subunit ribosomal RNA", at positions 524 to 776 of the family's 1533-position model. The record is from RNAcentral.
UACGUAGGGUGCGAGCGUUGUCCGGAAUUAUUGGGCGUAAAGAGCUCGUAGGCGGUCUGUCGCGUCGGUCGUGAAAACCUGCAGCUUAACUGUGGGCGUGCGGUCGAUACGGGCAUGACUGGAGUUCGGCAGGGAGACUGGAAUUCCUGGUGUAGCGGUGAAAUGCGCAGAUAUCAGGAGGAACACCGGUGGCGAAGGCGGGUCUCUGGGCCGAUACUGACGCUGAGGAGCGAAAGCGUGGGGAGCGAACAGG